CAAAAAGAGAGAGAUAUUCCUUAAACAUAAAGCAGUUUUCCAGUGGAAUCGCUUCUCGUCUUCAGAGUAUCACCUGUUGCAUAAAUAUAUUGCUACAAAGGCACUGAAGUCAUGCUCCAUGGGCUGAAAAAAAGAUGUGGCUCACACCCACAUGUGACAGCUGCUGGAAACUGGAUAGCUGAGGUCCCCAUGGAAACUUCCAAGACAACUAUGAUGGUGGCCACUGGACUUUUGUCAAAAUUCACAUCCUUCUGUUUGUCAAACACCUGGACUGGUCUUGGCAUUGCAUCUUUUCCGUGGAGGUUGCUUUCCACUCCAAGUUACCUGGAUCACUUUGUA
RNAcentral lists this long non-coding RNA (339 nucleotides) under Numida meleagris (helmeted guineafowl). RNAcentral describes it as "lncRNA (ENSNMEG00000001640.1)". The record is from RNAcentral. Lineage: Eukaryota; Metazoa; Chordata; Aves; Galliformes; Numididae.